Molecule: long non-coding RNA, 626 nt
Filed under: Bubo bubo (Eurasian eagle-owl)
Lineage: Eukaryota; Metazoa; Chordata; Aves; Strigiformes; Strigidae
Description: lncRNA (ENSBOBG00000005465.1)
Source: RNAcentral
AGUAUUUUACCGAGCUAGAGUAGCAGUUCUAUCUAUAUUUGAAAAAUAAUGGGUCAUUAGGGUAACAUUGUACGUGAUCUUUAAGGGCUCAGUCCUCCUUUCUGAUGAUUUGGGUGCAUCUUUUCUGUAAAUACAUAUGACACUGCACAGUGCACUCCUUGUGAGGACAGAGCACAUCUUUAGUGAUACAUAUGAGCAAAAAAACCAACUUACUCUGUAUUCUGAAGCAUCUAAGUAAGAAAGCACUUUGUGGAGAAAAACCACAAUGAUUCAGUUUCAUACAUAUGAUUCAUAAAGAUUAAUCAGGCUUAAACUAGAGCAUACAAGUUCUGCAUCAAUAUUCAAGGGUUUAUGUAUAUGUUACUGUACAUGUAAUUCCUUCAUAACAGGAAGGAGGGAACAAAUCUUAGAAGGAACAACACAGAAAUUCAUUGAACUAAGAUGGAAGGAUCAAUGUUGAUAAAUUCUUCAUUAACUACAUAUUCAAAUAUUCAUAAUGGAUAGAAGGAAUGCAGUUGAAGAAAACAAAAAACUAUAUGCAAUUUAUGACACAAGCGAUAAUUUUACUGGUACAGAAAGACUGUAUGUUGGAAAAAGAGCAAGACUGAAAAUGAACAAUGAAGAAG